GUGGUUCCCUGGCUUACACCCACUCCUUCAGGAAUAAACAAACACAGGUCAAUGUGGUUCCCUGGCUUACACCCACUCCUUCAGGAAUAAACAAACACAGGUCAAUGUGGUUCCCUGGCUUACACCCACUCCUUCAGGAAUAAACAAACACAGGUCAAUGUGGUUCCCUGGCUUACACCCACUCCUUCAGGAAUAAACAAACACAGGUCAAUGUGGUUCCCUGGCUUACACCCACUCCUUCAGGAAUAAACAAACACAGGUCAAUGUGGUUCCCUGGCUUACACCCACUCCUUCAGGAAUAAACAAACACAGGUCAAUGUGGUUCCCUGACUUAUACCCACUCCUUCAGGAAUAAACAAACACAGGUCAAUGUGGUUCCCUGACUUACACCCACUCCUUCAGGAAUAAACAAACACAGGUCAAUGUGGUUCCCUGACUUACACCCACUCCUUCAGGAAUAAACAAACACAGGUCAAUGUGGUUCCCUGGCUUAGACCCACUCCUUCAGGAAUAAACAAACACAGGUCAAUGUGGUUCCCUGGCUUACACCCACUCCUUCAGGAAUAAACAAACACAGGUCAAUGUGGUUCCC
Long non-coding RNA from Oncorhynchus keta (chum salmon), 592 nucleotides. RefSeq lists it as uncharacterized. The transcript is spliced from 4 exons. NCBI's taxonomy places the organism in Eukaryota, Metazoa, Chordata, Actinopteri, Salmoniformes, Salmonidae. The record is from RefSeq and is a predicted model, not a curated record.